Molecule: long non-coding RNA, 1714 nt
Filed under: Capsicum annuum
Lineage: Eukaryota; Viridiplantae; Streptophyta; Magnoliopsida; Solanales; Solanaceae
Description: long non-coding RNA (CANN_LNC003730)
Source: RNAcentral
UUUUCUCUAUUAUUUUUGUUUUACUUUACUAGUUGCUUAACUUAAUCUGAUAUUUCGAUCGAAGCCGACUCGUAGUUGGUGAAAUCUGAUCAUAUGCUCCAGGUCGUGCUUCAGAUAUGUUCUCUAAUCUUAGCUUGUUUGUUGGUUGCAUUAAUUAUUUACUAUUCUUUUACCUUUACUUGUUAUUCUCAAACUUUCGUUACUAGUUGGAAGUUAAAUCACAACGCGUACUCUUAUCAUAUUUAUAAACUCAACUAUUCCAAAUCAUUGAUAAAUAAUACCAAGGAAAGAAUGAGAAGAAAGUAAUAAAACUCUUCUUAUUUUUUAAAAUAAAUAAGUAGAAAAAUAAUUAUCGAUUUUUAUUUACAUUUUUUUAGUUUAAAAUCAUAGAAUUUACUUUAAAAACUUUUAUUUACCACCUUAUAGUCAAAUACCAAACUAAAAUGAGAAGAACAAAUUGAAAUGAAGGGAUUAAAUAGUUUUACUAAAAAAAAAAAAAAAAAAAAAGUUGAAAUUAGUCUUUCUAAAUCAGGGGCCAAUAGGCGACAAACAACUUUCUGGGGAGUAUAAAUGAAAAACAGAAAAGUAGCGUGUCGCAAACCAACAAAAACAAAAAGUAGUCUACUACUCCGUAUGGGACUUCGUACUUUCGUAACCGUUACCACAUGCCACGUGGCCACUAAGCCGUAACUUCCCUUAAACCGGUUUUUUUCCCUGACCCGUUUAUUAAAAACCGUUACACUCAUGUGGAAAGUAGGAACUUUAUCACGUGUGGCAGACCUGGUAAAAGGAGACACACGUGCGCCUUGCAUCCUCUGUAGCAGCAGCAGUGGAGAAAUGGAAUCUUCAUUGUUAUAUUAUAGUUGCACUAGUACUAAAUUAACAUAUCUAACCUCACAUUCUUAUCUAAAUAUGGUGAUAAAGUCGAGGUUAACAGAGUAAUUUUGGGAAAAAUUUGCAAAUCUUUAUUCCAACAGUUUUGUCGUUUAGUAAAUAGAGAUAGAUAUGGAUUGAGUUCACGCAGAUCGUGUGAUACAGAAGGGUCUAGGAGCUUUCUUACUACAAUUAAUGGUAUCUUAAGUAAGGGCAAAACUAUAUAUUUCUCUGGGGAAAAUUAUUUAAAUUAGUCAUUAUUAAAAUUUUAUUAUCACUUAAAAUUUAAUUUUGUCAUAAUUACAUUUUGUAGCUGGAAGUGUGAAUAAAUUUUAAGAUAAUUACAGAUCCUGACACACGCUUAUUUUUAAAUCAAUAAGUCAACGGUACUUUUUUUACUUUACUCGAACUCUCCUUUUACCCCCAAAUCACUCUUUCUUUACCCCUAAAUUUUCAAACUUAGAAGCGGUUUCUUCUUCAAUCCACAUCAUUCUUACGGUAACAAUCAAUUAAUCCUCAUAAUCUAUCAACAGACAUUCAUAUUUUAGGUUAGUUUUACCCUACUUGUGUGUAUUUGAUUAAUUUAUAAUUUGAAUAGCUAAUUUUUUUUUUUUGUUGCGCAGAUCCUUCAUUUUGAUUUAGCAAUGGUGGAUAAUACUCCAACGAAGAUGGUUACUAGAAGUAUAUCGCGUAGUGACCCUGAUGCACGUACGGUUCCAACAUUUGACUUAGAAAUUUCUCAAUCCGAAGAAGAAGAUGCAUUGCCUUCGGAAGAAGUUAGAGGUAUUGGGCAUAAAAGAAAAGUUAGAGAUGAUGUUUCGACUCCGAACAAUGAUGAUGA